Molecule: ribosomal RNA, 460 nt
Filed under: uncultured bacterium
Lineage: Bacteria
Description: partial 16S ribosomal RNA
Rfam family: Bacterial small subunit ribosomal RNA
Source: RNAcentral
CCUACGGGUGGCAGCAGUGAGGAAUAUUGGUCAAUGGACGAGAGUCUGAACCAGCCAAGUAGCGUGAAGGAUGACUGCCCUAUGGGUUGUAAACUUCUUUUAUAUGGGAAUAAAAUGUUCCACGUGUGGGAUUUUGUAUGUACCAUAUGAAUAAGGAUCGGCUAACUCCGUGCCAGCAGCCGCGGUAAUACGGAGGAUCCGAGCGUUAUCCGGAUUUAUUGGGUUUAAAGGGAGCGUAGGUGGAUUGUUAAGUCAGUUGUGAAAGUUUGCGGCUCAACCGUAAAAUUGCAGUUGAAACUGGCAGUCUUGAGUACAGUAGAGGUGGGCAGAAUUCGUGGUGUAGCGGUGAAAUGCUUAGAUAUCACGAAGAACCCCGAUUGCGAAGGCAGUUCACUGGACUGCAACUGACACUGAGGCUCGAAAGUGUGGGUAUCAAACAGGAUUAGAUACCCGUGUAGUC